This 466-nucleotide ribosomal RNA is filed under the name uncultured organism. RNAcentral's name for it is "bacterial SSU rRNA". It matches the Rfam family "Bacterial small subunit ribosomal RNA", at positions 8 to 486 of the family's 1533-position model. The record is from RNAcentral.
AGAGUUUGAUCCUGGCUCAGGACGAACGCUGGCGGCGUGCUUAACACAUGCAAGUCGAACGAUGAACCUGGAGCUUGCUCUAGGGAAUUAGUGGCGAACGGGUGAGUAACACGUGAGUAACCUGCCCUUGACUCUGGGAUAACCUCCGGAAACGGAAGCUAAUACCGGAUAUGACGCACGGAGGCAUCUCCUGUGCGUGGAAAGAACUUCGGUCAAGGAUGGACUCGCGGCCUAUCAGGUAGUUGGUGAGGUAACGGCUCACCAAGCCUACGACGGGUAGCCGGCCUGAGAGGGUGACCGGCCACACUGGGACUGAGACACGGCCCAGACUCCUACGGGAGGCAGCAGUGGGGAAUAUUGCACAAUGGGCGCAAGCCUGAUGCAGCAACGCCGCGUGAGGGACGACGGCCUUCGGGUUGUAAACCUCUUUUAGUAGGGAAGAAGCGAAAGUGACGGUACCUCAGAA